RNAcentral lists this long non-coding RNA (221 nucleotides) under Capsicum annuum. Its description in RNAcentral is "long non-coding RNA (CANN_LNC003063)". Lineage: Eukaryota; Viridiplantae; Streptophyta; Magnoliopsida; Solanales; Solanaceae. The record is from RNAcentral.
AUCCCUCUUAGGCUGUGUCAACAGCUACAUAUUAUACAUUAAUUAGUAAUUGACACAUCCAUCUUUUGGAAUUAAUUUUGUGAAGUUUCCCAUUCAAAUUAUUGGCCAAGUAACUAUCUAGGAACUAUAUUAUUAUUCUACUAGGAGAUUAGCUGUGCCAAGAGUAUUGGACGUCGUUAGAAUAUGUGUGUUUUGCAUCAAAAGGAAACGACGAACUUUUC